UGCCAGCCGCCGCGGUAAUACGGAGGGUGCAAGCGUUGUUCGGAAUCAUUGGGCGUAAAGAGCAUGUAGGCGGCCUGGAAAGUCGGUUGUGAAAGCCCGGGGCCCAACCCCGGAAUUGCAGCCGAAACUGCCUGGCUAGAGUCCCGGAGAGGAAGGCAGAAUUCCCGGUGUAGGGGUGAAAUCCGUAGAUAUCGGGAGGAAUACCAGUGGCGAAGGCGGCCUUCUGGACGGUGACUGACGCUGAGAUGCGAAAGCGUGGGGAGCAAACAGGAUUAGAUA
Molecule: ribosomal RNA, 279 nt
Filed under: uncultured bacterium
Lineage: Bacteria
Description: partial 16S ribosomal RNA
Rfam family: Bacterial small subunit ribosomal RNA
Source: RNAcentral